UUCAAGACCAAGAGAGGGUAGAAAUUAACAAAAUAGUUCUGAAAUCUCUCAAUUUAAAAAUUUCUUAAAAUUAGAAUGAAUCUUUCCUAAAAAUCUUUUUUGAAGCUUAAAUCUGGAAUUCCAAUUCCAGAUGUUUUUUUUCAAUUUCCAUGUGCAUACAUAUUAUUUAAAACAUGUCAAACCAGAGCAUGGAUCAUGCCUAUUUAUAAUCAGCAAUGCCAGAAAGAAAGAAAAACAUUAUGAGGAAAUUUAUUCACACACAUAAGAUUCUCAGAGUAACUUGAACAGCCUGCAAAAUUCAAGAAUGCUAAGUGUAUUCAUUCAAAAGUUUCAAUGACUAAAAGUAGCUUACAGUUCAACAGUAUGUACCAUCUAUAUGGAAUAUCUCUUCCUAAACAUCUGGGAUAAUACCUAUACAAAUAAAAAGAUGAAAUUGUUAUCUUCUACUUCAUACAUGGAUUAACAGAAAGAUUUUUUGUAAAAUCUCAUUUUGAUUACAUCACUGAUAUGUUUGAAUUUCAGUUAUCUCCAAUAUCAAACUUAAACUCAUUAGUGGAAGCAAUGCAGUCCUUCUCUGCUCCCCUUCCCACCUUCUACUCACUAGCUUCUCAUUAACUCUAAUUCAGCAAGUUUUUAUUAAACAAUGAUAAUUUGCUAGACUCUGUGUGAAGUGCUACAGAAAAGGGAAGGAAAAGGAGUAGAUACUACCUCUGUAUUCUAGGAGUUACUAUUUAAUGAAGAAAAUCAAAACAUGUAUAACUAACUCAAGGCAGAAUGUGAUAAAUAACAGUCAAAUCACCCAAUAAGUCAUACGGGAGCUCAGAGGAUGGAGAGUGGCAUUCCCUUUGCGGGGAAAAACAAAAGUAUUUCAGCCUGCUGAGACUCUCUGUUGUAGCAGGUAAUUAUACUCAUGAUGUCCUGGCCAUUACUUUUCCGUUUUGUUUUUUUUUUUUUUUAAGACAGAGUCUCGCUCUUAACUCCCAGGCCGGAGUGCGAUGGCACAAUCUCCACCCACUGCAACCUCCACCUUCCAGGUUCAAGCGAUUCUCCUGCUUCAGCCUCCGGAAUAGCUGGGAUUACAGUGUGAUUUUUAUCCAGUCUGACUCAUGAGAUUGUACAUUCCUUUUGAGUAGGGAUUAUUCACAUAAAUUGCUUUGCUUCUUUUUUAGAAUUUAGCAGAAGGAGCUGCAGACAUUGGAUUCACACACUGCUUUGGAGUCUCCAGACUCAGCUCCUUCUCUUCAGCCUAUGAAGACUGCCAGCCUCCUCCUGAGUUAUCCUCCACCCCCACUCUUUGGCACCAUGGUUGCAAACUUUUCUAAAAGAAGAUGGGACGGGACAAUCUUAAUGCUUGUUUUGUUUACUUUCCAUCUUUCCAAGAUCAGUCCUCUACUGACUGAUGUCCAAAAUCUUGACACCAUCGUUUUAUAUAUUGUAUCAGGUUAUUUUUAUUUGUUUCAAGCAGGAGGGUAAAUCUAGUCCCAAUUACUCAAAACUGGCUAGAGAUGGAAGUUAUCUAUUAUGUAAUAUGGCUUUUAAACUGUCCAACAUUAUGAUCACCCUCCCUAUGACCUGCUACAGCUUGCCAAUUUUCACUUUAGAAUGUGAUACAAAAAUUUAACACAAUUUUUAGCUGCGUUCUGACUUUAAAAGCAUAAACAUUACCGCACAAUUAAAUUUUAACUUUUUGCAAAUCCACCGCUGUUUAAGUGAUAUAUUCUCUAUAUUUUUUUAUGUAGGAGGUUUUUA
RNAcentral lists this long non-coding RNA (1749 nucleotides) under Homo sapiens (human). RNAcentral describes it as "HSALNT0140239". Lineage: Eukaryota; Metazoa; Chordata; Mammalia; Primates; Hominidae. The record is from RNAcentral.